This 465-nucleotide ribosomal RNA is filed under the name uncultured bacterium. Its description in RNAcentral is "partial 16S ribosomal RNA". It matches the Rfam family "Bacterial small subunit ribosomal RNA", at positions 28 to 507 of the family's 1533-position model. The record is from RNAcentral.
GACGAACGCUGGCGGCGUGCUUAACACAUGCAAGUCGUACGGUAAGGCCCUUUCGGGGGUACACGAGUGGCGAACGGGUGCGUAACACGUGAGUAACCUGCCCACAACUUUGGGAUAACGCUAGGAAACUGGUGCUAAUACUGGAUAUGUGCUCCUGCUGCAUGGUGGGGGUUGGAAAGCCCCGGCGGUUGUGGAUGGACUCCCGUCCUAUCAGCUUGUUGGUGGGGUAGUGGCCUACCAAGGCGGCGACGGGUAGCCGGCCUGAGAGGGUGACCGGCCACACUGAGACUGAGAUACGGUCCAGACUCCUACGGGAGGCAGCAGUGGUGAAUAUUGCACAAUGGACGCAAGCCUGAUGCAGCACCGCCGCGUGCGGGAUGACGGCCUUCGGGUUGUAAUCCGCUUUCAGCAGGGACGAAGCUUUUUGUGACGGUACCUACAGAAGAAGCACCGGCUAACUACGUG